CGGUUCACCAUUUCUCAGAACCGGGCCCGUCCAGGGUACGACGGGCCGGUUCACGGGUCCGGGCCGGUUCACUCGGUCAACGGGCCGGUUCCGGGCCCAAAACCGGCCCGUGGCCGUGUCUACAAUGCGGCCGCCGCCUUCCCAUCAUCUUUAUCUUUGUUUCUUUCUCAAGAAAUUCAGCACCCAUCCCUCUCUUUUACUCACAAUUAAUUGUUUCUUCUAUUUUUUUUCUUCUUCCCUCUCUCUUAUCUCUCCUUUUCUAAUUUUUUUUCUUCUUUUCCACCUUUUUUCUUCAUCCCAUAUUCAGCCACACAUCUGUUCGGCAAUCCACGAUCAAACCCGUCGGAUUCCGGCAAUCGACGGCCAGAUCCGUCAAAUUUCGACAACCCACGGCCUACUCCACCCAGAUUCGGCCACCCCGGUCAUUGACCGGGUUUUUGACAUUUGACCCCCACGCCCCCCCUACUAGCAUCGGUGGUUGCUACCAUCAAUUGCAACAACGGCAUCAGUGAUUUUAGUUCAAAUUUGAGGGCUCAAUGCAGCGGCGGUCUGAUCGAAACCAGCUUUCUGCAUCAACAAAGCUCGAGCACGUAAAUGAGAAGGAUAUUGAUCUCCAACAUAGUUAUAGAAGAAAUAGCUUUUUUAACUUGUAUCGAAUUGAUAAAUUAGGUGGCUUCCUUCAAUUUUAAUGCAAACAGGUAUAAAAAAACUAAAAUAGCUUUGAAUAGCGAAUAGCGAAACUUACUGAAUCGACAACCAGUGAUGGAAUUGUGACCGAAAGAUAAUUAAAUAUUUGUAACAGAUUUGUGAUGGGAUACUUGUGAUGGAAUUUUGUGACGGAGGUUUGAAUGAAUUAUUUGUGAUCGAUGU
Non-coding RNA from Erythranthe guttata (spotted monkey flower), 870 nucleotides. The record is from RefSeq and is a predicted model, not a curated record. NCBI's taxonomy places the organism in Eukaryota, Viridiplantae, Streptophyta, Magnoliopsida, Lamiales, Phrymaceae.